This is a long non-coding RNA of Lotus japonicus, 3220 nucleotides long. RefSeq lists it as uncharacterized. The transcript is spliced from 3 exons. Lineage: Eukaryota; Viridiplantae; Streptophyta; Magnoliopsida; Fabales; Fabaceae. The record is from RefSeq and is a predicted model, not a curated record.
GCGCACCAUAGAUGAAAAGAAGCCCUCACAACAAUUAGACAAACCCCAAAGCACACACCACCACUCCACAAAAACCUCAACAGCCAAACUACCCAAAGCACACCCACUCCAACCUAAAGAAGACCUUCACACAAUGAUUUGAGAAGCAAUAUAAGAGAAGACUACAAAAUAUGAGCAAUCAUACUCCAUGUUUAAUCGCUUCUCCAUCAGUAAGUCACUAUGUACACAUCAUAAGGUCUCGACAACUCUACUGGUAGCACGUUCAACUCUGCACCAACUUCUUCCACUGGACCAUACCCCUGAAGCUAUCAGCCUGGCUAUUCUUCUUUCCCAUGAUCAUGAUUUCUAUUUCCAAUUCAUUGAAUGUGUUUUCAGUUUUACCUAAUGGAAAUCUAAGCAAAGUGACAACAAUUCAUAACCGUUGCGUUCAAAAUCUGCAAUUCAACUAAAAUAUGGAGUCAUUAAGGAGGAAGCUGCAAAAGAAAAACACGUGAUGAACCUUCUUCCAAACUAGGUACAAUAAUGCUGAUUGUUUUCCCAAAGAGCUAGCAUGUGGACUCUGAAAUGCUAAAUGACAUGCUUGUACAUAGAUUUCAAGUUUGGAACUAAAGAUCAUAGCAUGUGGGAAUUGCAUAGCAGCUUUUUUCUAUGGCUGUGAGAUUCCUUGGCUUACUGGUCGAGUUGUCAGUGAAGCUGCUUCCAUUGUUGUUGGACCACAGCUGCUCUCCUACACAUGUUUAUUGUUCUGGUAUCUCUCUCUCUCUCUCUCUCAAUAUUAUUAUAAAUUGUUGUAUGUGGAGUUAAUUUUAUGCAACAAUGUAAAGUUGUAGCUGAUAAUUAGCAACAUUUAGUAUGUUGCCUAUGUAUAAUUGUGUUAGUUUAGAACUGUUGUCGUAGGACUUCUAUGCAACACUUAUAACUUGAAAUAAAAAAUGGGUAACACUAUUGCACUAGGCUAAAAAAAUAACUGUUGCGUAUUCCUCAUAGUAUAGGUUAGAGUUUCAGACAUGUUUCCUGUUGGAAAUAACACGGAGUCGGGUUUAUACUACGAAGGUCGAGCUCCAUCUGCCCAAUGUGAUUAAACCGAGCCUUGCUUCUCGAUGCUGAUGAACGUUACGUGUAGUACCUCGGUUAAGAGGAAUUUUCGGUGAUAUUGCGCCUUUGUUUCGGUAUCGGCCAGAAACACUGGUUGAUCUUGCGUGCCAGCAGUUGGUAAAGAAAAUGAUGGCCUGGUGGCCGAGAUUGUACCCUGUCUUGGCAAGCGAAGACUAACCAAAAGCGUAAAAUACAGCCAAAUACUGGAGGUAAAUAAUGACAAGCGGUUAAGAAGUGCUCAAGUUCAGAGAAUGCUCUGAAAAACUGGAAAAGAGAUGCAGACUACCUAGUUCAACUAUGAAUGUAGAAAAAUAUAGUAAGCAUGCUGAAACUCAUGGUUACUUUUUCAAAAGUAAAACAGUAACUGAACUUAAACUAUAAUGCGAUGAAAAUAAAUCCACCAAGUUGGGAAACAAAACACUACAUGAAUGCCAAUUAAAUGAAUAAAAGUGAUUAUUUUAGAACACUUAUGCAGAAAAUAAACACAACAGAAUGCUGAACUUGGAAAUGCCGAAGGAUGCUGGAAAUCUAGACAAUGAACAUGUAAUUCAUAUUAACAAAUAUCAACAACACAGCGAAAUUAAGGAACAAUAAUAUGUUGAAAGCGAAAGAUUUAAGCAUGCAAGAUUGUGUCUUUACUCUUUAGCAAUGAUCAAGCAAUUAGAGUAAUUUGAAGAAGGUGCAAGUAGUAAAGAACUUGAAUUGAAAUUGCAAAUUUGAAAAUAGCAACAAGAUUGGAAUAAAGUGGCUGGAGUUUACUGGAAACUCAACCACUCUUGAAUCCAGUAGGAACUGAGGCGUUAGUUUAGAUGUUCAACCCUUUCUAAGUCUUCCUAAGUCCUAUUUAUAGUUGAAAUUCAAAGAACUUAAGUCCUAAGUCCCUUUUCUCCAAACUUUCGAUCCCCAAAUGUUAUUUCUACAGUGCAACCUGUCUUUUUAGGGCUUUCCCACUGAAACCAACCUCCACCUAUCUCUUGUUGUUGAAGCGAGUCUGAGCGGCCAAGGGAUUGCCUUGGAAAGAGAUUGGCACAUUUGAUCUGAUCUAGUUAAGCCGGAAAAAAGUUCACUCCAAUCCAGCUCUAAUAGGAGCUUCAAUAUUUUUUUGGAGUGAAUCGACAAGCACCUUCCAUUUCCCAUCGGCAUAAUGGGGCCGACACUUUUUGAAGUGUUGACCAUUACAGGCCUUCCGCCAUUCGGUGAAAUUAUAACGUUGUUAACUGAACCGACGUGCACUCUCAAAUCAACGACUGUUACCUCUUGCGGUCCCUUUGUCACCAUAUAUUCCAAGGUCACUGACACCGUUACCGACACAAAACACAGAUUUUUAACUUACUGGUUGUUUGCCCAUGUAAUUUGCCCUAUGUUUUCGGGGGUUAGCAAGGCCUACGUCAAACUUGCGUGUGCAAGAAACUUGCUUUGGGCCAAUUCCUUCUUGCUUCUCUAUAUUCUGCCAUUAAGGAUAUUGUACAAGGCAUCUGAUACAACAUUCGGGUUAGAAAUCUAGUGGGGCCUAUUUGGCUCCUUCAGCUUUGGCUAACGACCAUCCUAAGUGGUCGCUUCGAUCUUGAGUCUGUUCCUUGGUAACCGAAAAUAGCUGCCUUUCGGCUCGACCCGUUGACACCCCUAAGGCCAAUCUAAUGAAGCCUUUCACUUUUAUUUCAACAUCUUUUGGAACCUAUCCGCCCAGACAAACAUUGUUGACCUUUUCGAUCAGCCGCCCUUCUUGGUUCUUGAAAGAAAAGAUUUCGACGAUUUCGAUGUUGAAAAAUGAGUUGUCGUAUUGUGCCCUCAACAACUUUUGACUAGAUUGCCGAGAUUUAAGGAUCUCAAUGUAGUGAAUUAUCGGCCAAACUAUGUCAGUUAUCAACUCGGUUUCAGUGAGGCCCUGCCUUUUUCUUUGACCACUCAAUUUGAUAAGUUCUAUCGACAUUCCAACCCGUUGACCUUUGCAGAGAUCUCGUUACUCUUGGAAAACAAUUGACGCUUUUCGGCUCAUUUUAAGUGGGGAGAUUAUGCACUGGUUAAUUUGGUGAUAAAUACUUUUACCGACUAGCGGCGAAGAUACUUUUGCCAAUAAAUUUUGUGGCUAUAGCCUUCCAUAACCACCAAUAAUUAUUUUAAAUAC